CUCACCAAACUUGAGAGGGCUUAAGGGCCAUAUAUGGUUCUCGAGGACAUGAAGCCAACCCACUAAAGAGCUGACAGGAAUGGUUAACCUUCAGUAGAAUUUCAAAUCUCAUGAUCACUGAAAAACAAAUAACAAAUAAAUCUCUCUAAAUAAGGGAAGGAUAAUGACCAUAUCUCUCCAGAUAAGUCAAGGUUAACCACCUGAUUCUCUUUCCUCGUACAGUUCUUCAGUCUCUACCCAUAAAUAAAAAGGACCCUCCAUGUGUGAAAUCUUC
This 274-nucleotide long non-coding RNA is filed under the name Elaeis guineensis (African oil palm). Its description in RNAcentral is "long non-coding RNA (EGUI_LNC054369)". The record is from RNAcentral. Lineage: Eukaryota; Viridiplantae; Streptophyta; Magnoliopsida; Arecales; Arecaceae.